Molecule: ribosomal RNA, 460 nt
Filed under: uncultured bacterium
Lineage: Bacteria
Description: partial 16S ribosomal RNA
Rfam family: Bacterial small subunit ribosomal RNA
Source: RNAcentral
CCUACGGGUGGCAGCAGUGAGGAAUAUUGGUCAAUGGGCGCAAGCCUGAACCAGCCAAGUCGCGUGAGGGAUGACGGUCCUAUGGAUUGUAAACCUCUUUUGUCGGGGAGCAAGUCCCGCCACGUGUGGCGGGAAGGAGAGUACCCGAAGAAAAAGCAUCGGCUAACUCCGUGCCAGCAGCCGCGGUAAUACGGAGGAUGCGAGCGUUAUCCGGAGUUAUUGGGUUUAAAGGGUGCGUAGGCGGAAGGUUAAGUCAGCGGUAAAAUGUCGGUGCUCAACACGGGCCUGCCGUUGAAACUGGUCUUCUUGAGUGAGCGAGAAGUAUGCGGAAUGCGUGGUGUAGCGGGGAAAUGCAUAGAGAGCACGAAGAACUCCGAUUGCGAAGGCAGCAUACCGGCGCUCAACUGACGCUGAGGCACGAAAGCGUGGGGAUCGAACAGGAUUAGAUACCCUGGGAGUC